RNAcentral lists this ribosomal RNA (497 nucleotides) under uncultured bacterium. RNAcentral describes it as "partial 16S ribosomal RNA". It matches the Rfam family "Bacterial small subunit ribosomal RNA", at positions 28 to 507 of the family's 1533-position model. The record is from RNAcentral.
GAUGAACGCUGGCGGCGUGCCUAAUGCAUGCAAGUCGAGCGAACAGACGAGGAGCUUGCUCCUUUGACGUUAGCGGCGGACGGGUGAGUAACACGUGGGUAACCUACCUAUAAGACUGGGAUAACUUCGGGAAACCGGAGCUAAUACCGGAUAAUAUUUCGAACCGCAUGGUUCGAUAGUGAAAGAUGGCUUUGCUAUCACUUAUAGAUGGACCUGCGCCGUAUUAGCUAGUUGGUAAGGUAACGGCUUACCAAGGCAACGAUACGUAGCCGACCUGAGAGGGUGAUCGGCCACACUGGAACUGAGACACGGUCCAGACUCCUACGGGAGGCAGCAGUAGGGAAUCUUCCGCAAAGGGCGAAAGCCUGACGGAGCAACGCCGCGUGAGUGAUGAAGGUCUUCGGAUCGUAAAACUCUGUUAUUAGGGAAGAACAAACGUGUAAGUAACUGUGCACGUCUUGACGGUACCUAAUCAGAAAGCCACGGCUAACUACGUG